CUUGUACUCCCUCCCUCUGAAAAUACUUGUCAUUGAAAUGGAUGUAUCUAGAUGUAUUUUAGUUCUAGACACAUCCAUUUUGAUGACAAGUAAUUCCGGACGGAGGGAGUACUUG
This is a non-coding RNA of Triticum aestivum (bread wheat), 115 nucleotides long. The record is from Rfam. NCBI's taxonomy places the organism in Eukaryota, Viridiplantae, Streptophyta, Magnoliopsida, Poales, Poaceae.